CAGUAGCCGCGGGAAUACGUAGGGGGCAAGCGUUGUCCGGAAUUAUUGGGCGUAAAGCGCGCGCAGGCGGUUUUUUAAGUCUGGUGUCUAAGUGCGGGGCUCAACCCCGUGACGCACUGGAAACUGGGAGACUUGAGUGCAGAAGAGGAGAGCGGAAUUCCACGUGUAGCGGUGAAACGCGUAGAGAUGUGGAGGAACACCAGUGGCGAAGGCGGCUCUCUGGACUGUAACUGACGCUGAGGCGCGAAAGCGUGGGGAGCAAACAGGAUUAGAUACCCGCGUAGUCCCUGUCUCUUAUACA
Molecule: ribosomal RNA, 301 nt
Filed under: uncultured bacterium
Lineage: Bacteria
Description: partial 16S ribosomal RNA
Rfam family: Bacterial small subunit ribosomal RNA
Source: RNAcentral